GGGUUGUGAGGUUAAGCGACUAAGCGUACACGGUGGAUGCCCUGGCAGUCAGAGGCGAUGAAGGACGUGCUAAUCUGCGAAAAGCGCCGGCGAGGUGAUAUGAACCUUUGACCCGGCGAUGUCCGAAUGGGGAAACCCAGUGCAAUUCGUUGCACUAUCGUUAACUGAAUACAUAGGUUAACGAGGCGAACCGGGGGAACUGAAACAUCUAAGUACCCGAGGAAAAGAAAUCAACCGAGAUUCCCCCAGUAGCGGCGAGCGAACGGGGAGCAGCCCAGAGUCUGAAUCAGCUUGUGUGUUAGUGGAAGCGUCUGGAAAGUCGCACGGUACAGGGUGACAGUCCCGUACACGAAAGCACACAGGUUGUGAACUCGAAGAGUAGGGCGGGACACGUGGUAUCCUGUCUGAAUAUGGGGGGACCAUCCUCCAAGGCUAAAUACUCCUGACUGACCGAUAGUGAACCAGUACCGUGAGGGAAAGGCGAAAAGAACCCCGGCGAGGGGAGUGAAAAAGAACCUGAAACCGUGUACGUACAAGCAGUGGGAGCACCUUCGUGGUGUGACUGCGUACCUUUUGUAUAAUGGGUCAGCGACUUAUAUUCUGUAGCAAGGUUAACCGUAUAGGGGAGCCGAAGGGAAACCGAGUCUUAACUGGGCGUUAAGUUGCAGGGUAUAGACCCGAAACCCGGUGAUCUAGCCAUGGGCAGGUUGAAGGUUGGGUAACACUAACUGGAGGACCGAACCGACUAAUGUUGAAAAAUUAGCGGAUGACUUGUGGCUGGGGGUGAAAGGCCAAUCAAACCGGGAGAUAGCUGGUUCUCCCCGAAAGCUAUUUAGGUAGCGCCUCGUGAAUUCAUCUUCGGGGGUAGAGCACUGUUUCGGCUAGGGGGCCAUCCCGGCUUACCAACCCGAUGCAAACUACGAAUACCGAAGAAUGUUAUCACGGGAGACACACGGCGGGUGCUAACGUCCGUCGUGAAGAGGGAAACAACCCAGACCGCCAGCUAAGGUCCCAAAGUCAUGGUUAAGUGGGAAACGAUGUGGGAAGGCACAGACAGCCAGGAUGUUGGCUUAGAAGCAGCCAUCAUUUAAAGAAAGCGUAAUAGCUCACUGGUCGAGUCGGCCUGCGCGGAAGAUGUAACGGGGCUAAACCAUGCACCGAAGCUGCGGCAGCGACGCGUAUGCGUUGUUGGGUAGGGGAGCGUUCUGUAAGCCGUUGAAGGUGUCCUGUGAGGGGUGCUGGAGGUAUCAGAAGUGCGAAUGCUGACAUAAGUAACGAUAAAGCGGGUGAAAAGCCCGCUCGCCGGAAGACCAAGGGUUCCUGUCCAACGUUAAUCGGGCAGGGUGAGUCGACCCCUAAGGCGAGGCCGAAAGGCGUAGUCGAUGGGAAACAGGUUAAUAUUCCUGUACUUGGUGUUACUGCGAAGGGGGGACGGAGAAGGCUAUGUUAGCCGGGCGACGGUUGUCCCGGUUUAAGCAUGUAGGCGGAGGUUCCAGGUAAAUCCGGUACCUUUUAACGCUGAGGUGUGAUGACGAGGCACUACGGUGCUGAAGUAACAAAUGCCCUGCUUCCAGGAAAAGCCUCUAAGCAUCAGGUAACAUCAAAUCGUACCCCAAACCGACACAGGUGGUCAGGUAGAGAAUACCAAGGCGCUUGAGAGAACUCGGGUGAAGGAACUAGGCAAAAUGGUGCCGUAACUUCGGGAGAAGGCACGCUGAUAUGUAGGUGAAGCCCCUGCGGGUGGAGCUGAAAUCAGUCGAAGAUACCAGCUGGCUGCAACUGUUUAUUAAAAACACAGCACUGUGCAAACACGAAAGUGGACGUAUACGGUGUGACGCCUGCCCGGUGCCGGAAGGUUAAUUGAUGGGGUUAGCGGCAACGCGAAGCUCUUGAUCGAAGCCCCGGUAAACGGCGGCCGUAACUAUAACGGUCCUAAGGUAGCGAAAUUCCUUGUCGGGUAAGUUCCGACCUGCACGAAUGGCGUAAUGAUGGCCAGGCUGUCUCCACCCGAGACUCAGUGAAAUUGAACUCGCUGUGAAGAUGCAGUGUACCCGCGGCAAGACGGAAAGACCCCGUGAACCUUUACUAUAGCUUGACACUGAACACUGGUCCUUGAUGUGUAGGAUAGGUGGGAGGCUUUGAAGCGUGGACGCCAGUCUGCGUGGAGCCGUCCUUGAAAUACCACCCUUUAAUGGCUGGUGUUCUAACGUAGACCCGUGAUCCGGGUUGCGGACAGUGUCUGGUGGGUAGUUUGACUGGGGCGGUCUCCUCCCAAAGAGUAACGGAGGAGCACGAAGGUUAGCUAAUCCUGGUCGGACAUCAGGAGGUUAGUGCAAUGGCAUAAGCUAGCUUGACUGCGAGAGUGACGGCUCGAGCAGGUGCGAAAGCAGGUCAUAGUGAUCCGGUGGUUCUGAAUGGAAGGGCCAUCGCUCAACGGAUAAAAGGUACUCCGGGGAUAACAGGCUGAUACCGCCCAAGAGUUCAUAUCGACGGCGGUGUUUGGCACCUCGAUGUCGGCUCAUCACAUCCUGGGGCUGAAGUAGGUCCCAAGGGUAUGGCUGUUCGCCAUUUAAAGUGGUACGCGAGCUGGGUUUAGAACGUCGUGAGACAGUUCGGUCCCUAUCUGCCGUGGGCGCUGGAGAAUUGAGGGGGGCUGCUCCUAGUACGAGAGGACCGGAGUGGACGCAUCACUGGUGUUCGGGUUGUCAUGCCAAUGGCACUGCCCGGUAGCUAAAUGCGGAAAAGAUAAGUGCUGAAAGCAUCUAAGCACGAAACUUGCCCCGAGAUGAGUUCUCCCUGACCCUUUAAGGGUCCUGAAGGAACGUUGAAGACGACGACGUUGAUAGGUCGGGUGUGUAAGCGCAGCGAUGCGUUGAGCUAACCGAUACUAAUGAACCGUGAGGCUUAACCUUACAACGCCGAAGCUGUU
Molecule: ribosomal RNA, 2929 nt
Filed under: Enterobacter cloacae
Lineage: Bacteria; Pseudomonadati; Pseudomonadota; Gammaproteobacteria; Enterobacterales; Enterobacteriaceae
Description: bacterial LSU rRNA
Rfam family: Bacterial large subunit ribosomal RNA
Source: RNAcentral